GCCAGUGUGGUGUAAUGGUUUGAGCAUUGGACUAUAACUCUGGAGACCAGGGUUCGAAUCCCCACUUGGCCA
This 72-nucleotide transfer RNA is filed under the name Phrynosoma platyrhinos (Desert horned lizard). RNAcentral describes it as "tRNA-OTHER". Lineage: Eukaryota; Metazoa; Chordata; Lepidosauria; Squamata; Phrynosomatidae. The record is from RNAcentral.